This 905-nucleotide ribosomal RNA is filed under the name Escherichia coli. RNAcentral describes it as "partial 23S ribosomal RNA". It matches the Rfam family "Bacterial large subunit ribosomal RNA", at positions 354 to 1263 of the family's 2925-position model. Lineage: Bacteria; Pseudomonadati; Pseudomonadota; Gammaproteobacteria; Enterobacterales; Enterobacteriaceae. The record is from RNAcentral.
GCGAUACAGGGUGACAGCCCCGUACACAAAAAUGCACAUAUUGUGAGCUCGAUGAGUAGGGCGGGACACGUGGUAUCCUGUCUGAAUAUGGGGGGACCAUCCUCCAAGGCUAAAUACUCCUGACUGACCGAUAGUGAACCAGUACCGUGAGGGAAAGGCGAAAAGAACCCCGGCGAGGGGAGUGAAAAAGAACCUGAAACCGUGUACGUACAAGCAGUGGGAGCCUCUUAAUGGGGUGACUGCGUACCUUUUGUAUAAUGGGUCAGCGACUUAUAUUCUGUAGCAAGGUUAACCGAAUAGGGGAGCCGAAGGGAAACCGAGUCUUAACUGGGCGUUAAGUUGCAGGGUAUAGACCCGAAACCCGGUGAUCUAGCCAUGGGCAGGUUGAAGGUUGGGUAACACUAACUGGAGGACCGAACCGACUAAUGUUGAAAAAUUAGCGGAUGACUUGUGGCUGGGGGUGAAAGGCCAAUCAAACCGGGAGAUAGCUGGUUCUCCCCGAAAGCUAUUUAGGUAGCGCCUCGUGAAUUCAUCUCCGGGGGUAGAGCACUGUUUCGGCAAGGGGGUCAUCCCGACUUACCAACCCGAUGCAAACUGCGAAUACCGGAGAAUGUUAUCACGGGAGACACACGGCGGGUGCUAACGUCCGUCGUGAAGAGGGAAACAACCCAGACCGCCAGCUAAGGUCCCAAAGUCAUGGUUAAGUGGGAAACGAUGUGGGAAGGCCCAGACAGCCAGGAUGUUGGCUUAGAAGCAGCCAUCAUUUAAAGAAAGCGUAAUAGCUCACUGGUCGAGUCGGCCUGCGCGGAAGAUGUAACGGGGCUAAACCAUGCACCGAAGCUGCGGCAGCGACACUAUGUGUUGUUGGGUAGGGGAGCGUUCUGUAAGCCUGUGAAGGUGGCCUG